Molecule: ribosomal RNA, 253 nt
Filed under: uncultured bacterium
Lineage: Bacteria
Description: partial 16S ribosomal RNA
Rfam family: Bacterial small subunit ribosomal RNA
Source: RNAcentral
UACGUAGGGUGCGAGCGUUGUCCGGAAUUAUUGGGCGUAAAGGGCGCGUAGGUGGCCUUCUAAGUUGAACGUGAAAUCCCUGGGCUCAACCCAGGAACUGCGUCCAAGACUGGGAGGCUUGAAUCCGGGAGAGGGAUGCGGAAUUCCAGGUGUAGCGGUGAAAUGCGUAGAUAUCAGGAGGAACACCGGUGGCGAAGGCGGGUCUCUGGGCAACAACUGACGCUGAGGAGCGAAAGCGUGGGGAGCGAACAGG